GCACUAUAUAAGUGUUAUUUGUUAAAUUUAAUUUAUUAUUUCUGAUCUGUAUGUUUGAAAUGUAGAGACAUUUGAUUAUGUUUUUAGCUGAAGUUGCCUUUUUGUUUUACCUCUACAGUGUUUGACUAUGGGAUGAUAAUAUUAAAUUACUCUGUUGGAGUUAGUGGAAAAUCAAACUCAGUUUCUCUUAUUAUGCACUUACUAUAUAGGUUACUUUUGCGAUCCCAAAGCUUGUGGGAUUUCUUCCCACAAGCAAAUAAGCAAUUGAUUCUAUAGCAGACCCCAUCUGGCAUCUUUCAGUUCAGUUCUGAAGAUAACAUCAGAUCCCAUGGUUUGAAGUGUCAGUCUCCAAGGAUGCCCCCAACUGUUCAGAUUCUUCUUGGUCCCUCUUUGCAGCAUUUCUUCCUCCUGGGUAUGCACUCUCUCUGAAAUGGAAGACUUAUGAUCUAUUAGCCAAAGGAGGUCAGAGAACUUCUUUAUAGCCAACUCUGAGACAAAUGUGGGAGAAGAUCAGCCUAUGACCACAUUGGGGAAGAGAAAUUCUAGCAUCUAUGAUUUGUCUUGGUGAAGGAGCAGGUGGAAGGGUGGCUGAGGUAAGUGUUUGCAGGAUGCAGAGGUGCAUGCCUAUAAUCCCAGCUACUCAAAAGGCUGAGGCAGGAGAAUGGAAAGUUUUAAGGCCAGCCUGGGCAACUUAGUAGUGAGACCUUGUCUAAAUAAAUAAAUAGGUAAAUUUCAGAUGUCUGUAUAUAAAUGAUAGUAUCUGGUGUAAUUCAUUAAUUCAAUAUUCAGUAUUUUCUUUUGAGUUUUUUGUAUAUCUUAUGCAUAUAAAAAUUCAUGUUAAAUGCCUACUUAGC
RNAcentral lists this long non-coding RNA (854 nucleotides) under Marmota monax (woodchuck). The record is from RNAcentral. Lineage: Eukaryota; Metazoa; Chordata; Mammalia; Rodentia; Sciuridae.